CGGGCGAGGACCAUUAGCUGAGAGAGGGAGAGAUGUCUCAGAUCCAGAACCUUUAUUCUAUCUCCUCCUCAUUUCUUCUCUAUCGUCGAUUCAUCGCUGGUGGGGAAGUGCUAGAGUUCCGUACGACGUUGCUGUAGAGAUCGCGUCACACUUCUCUUCCUCAUUUCUGCACCAAUUUCCUUUCCCUUUUCAUCUGCAGUGUUGCCUUCCUCCUUUAUUUAGCUAGCAGCCAUUGGUGACUAUGCUCUCUCAUCAUUCUCGUCAGAGUCAUGCUCUGUGAUCUUCCCCUCCUCCUUUGUUCGAGUAUUAACUUAGAUGUAUCAGAAAUCUCCUUUCCCUGUUCUGUGUAUUACUGAAGCAUUCCUCAGUAGUCUCUUCCUCGGCUACUCCUUACUCUUCUGUCAGUUUUUGUGUUGGUAUGAUUCUUCUUGCUUUUGUCAUUGCUGUAACGUCUGCUGAGAAUCACUGCGUUGAGGCAUAGAUCGCAAGACUAAGGUUCCCCUGUUUAGUGUCCAAGCUCCCUCCCAUUCUCUGUUGUGAUAUUGAUGAUUUAAGGAUGUUUGGAAGAAGAGAAGCUUGAAUAAAGUCACAAGAAAUGAGUUUGGAGCCUAGGAUACUACAGAUACCCUAGUUGACGUCGAUCCUCCAGUUGAUCCAUGAGAACUCAUAGAUGUGCUGGGUAAAGAAUUGAUCAAAAUUUUCCUUUUUAUGUAACUAUAAAUGCUUAUAUAUUUUAUUUUGGAGAGGUCUGGUUAGGUGCUCCACAUAUGCUAUGUUUAAGGCUUCUAUUUUGGUAUAUAUGCUGUCUGUUUAUUGGAAGAGCUAAGCUCCUGACUAACAUGAUAUUCUGUGAAUAUUUUUAUAUUGUAGAGUUUUAAAAGAUCCUAUUUACAGGCGAAGUUUUGUCUAAA
Long non-coding RNA from Prosopis cineraria, 911 nucleotides. RefSeq lists it as uncharacterized. NCBI's taxonomy places the organism in Eukaryota, Viridiplantae, Streptophyta, Magnoliopsida, Fabales, Fabaceae. The record is from RefSeq and is a predicted model, not a curated record. The transcript has 3 exons.